GACGAACGCUGGCGGCGUGCUUAACACAUGCAAGUCGAACGGAAAGGCCCUGCUUUCGUGGGGUUCUGGAGUGGCGAACGCGUGCGUAACACGUGUGUAACCUGCCCUUGUCUUUCGGGUAACUUCAGGUAACUGGGGCUACUACCGUAUAGGAUCUCCUGCUGCGUGGAGGGGGGUGGAACUUUUGGGCUGGCGGGGAUGGAUGCGCGGGUUAUCAGCUUGCUGGUGGGGUAGUGGCAUACCCAGGCUUUGACGGGUCGGCGGCCUGAGUGGGUGACCGGCGACCUGGGGACUACGAUACGGCCCAGACUCGUACGGGAGACAGCAGGCGGAAAUAUUGUACAAUGGGCGCGAGCCUGAGACGGCAACGCCGCGUGCGGAAUGACGGCCUUCGGGUUGUAAACCGCUUCAGCCUGUGACGAAGCGUGACUGACGGUAAUGAAUGAAGAAGCACCGGCUAACUACGUG
This 468-nucleotide ribosomal RNA is filed under the name uncultured bacterium. RNAcentral's name for it is "partial 16S ribosomal RNA". It matches the Rfam family "Bacterial small subunit ribosomal RNA", at positions 28 to 507 of the family's 1533-position model. The record is from RNAcentral.